AGCGUUUGUCCGCUUUCACUUUCGAAACGAGAGUAUUUACAAAAGUUUGUUUAAAAUACGUUGGUUUUGAGUGAUGUGUCCUUAAUAACUGGUCAUUUUUGUUGUUUCAUUUCACAUUUUGUUCAUUCUCUGCAGUAUGGCGAAACGCAAAAGCAAAGGCCAGUAACAACUUAAUCAACACUCACUUUGUAGACGGUGGAUUCAUCAUUUCCUUUGCUUUUGACAAAGCUUCUGGUAUUAAUUAACAAAACUGACAUAUUUUUGUGUUUUACAGCACAUGGUGGAGUUACUGAAAUGGAGGAAAUGUUACUGAUAUCUCCAAAAGGAGAUGAUGUCGACACAGACUUUGACCAUACACUUGCAGCGGGGCCAUCAAGAGUGAGGAAUCAAUACGGAGCAUUCACGGAAAAGCCAAGACAAUCGACAGACUCCACUAAAGAAUUCAGAUUUAUAGUGCUUGGACAUAAUGAACAUCUUAUGUCUCAAGCAUGCAGCAUCAUCCUUAGGUUAGGACAGGGUGGAGAUACUAAUGUUGGAACAUGUGAGCUUAGGGAUGGCAUUGUUAAUGGACAACCGGUAUCUGUGGUAAAAACUCCAUCCAGCUGGCUAAAAUCAUUCUCCAUUUUCUCCUUCCGCCGUAAACUAAAUUCUAUAAAAAGUGAAAUUGAGUUCUGUCAAUCACUGGUUUUUCCUGGGCCUCAUGCCUUUCUG
RNAcentral lists this long non-coding RNA (711 nucleotides) under Sinocyclocheilus anshuiensis. RNAcentral describes it as "lncRNA (ENSSANG00000036938.1)". The record is from RNAcentral. Lineage: Eukaryota; Metazoa; Chordata; Actinopteri; Cypriniformes; Cyprinidae.